RNAcentral lists this long non-coding RNA (366 nucleotides) under Lepidothrix coronata (blue-crowned manakin). RNAcentral describes it as "lncRNA (ENSLCOG00000003689.1)". The record is from RNAcentral. Lineage: Eukaryota; Metazoa; Chordata; Aves; Passeriformes; Pipridae.
AUAGCUAAACUUUCUAGGCACGUUUUCACCGUUUAGGAAAUACCGAGCUGGAACGUUCUGUGUAUGUUGCCUGACUUUACGUGAAAAAGAGGGAAUUACAAUUGUGUUGAACAUUUUUUCACUCAGAAGGAGGUGUAAUGUGGGUUUUACAAAAGCAACCAUGCUGAGGUUUUUGGAAGUUCUCCUCCACCCCACCUUGGGCUAGCAUUCUCUUCCUGCUUCCACAUAUUCCCUCAUCUGGUGAGGAGCUAUAUGUGACAGUAUGUGAGCAAUUCUCCUGAUGACAUCCAGGCUCUCGUGCUGUACUCCAGACUUGGAAUCCUGCAGUGAUUUAGCAUCUUUGUUUCGAAGCUGUUUGGGGAAGAU